RNAcentral lists this ribosomal RNA (394 nucleotides) under uncultured soil bacterium. RNAcentral's name for it is "bacterial SSU rRNA". It matches the Rfam family "Bacterial small subunit ribosomal RNA", at positions 348 to 745 of the family's 1533-position model. The record is from RNAcentral.
GCAGCAGUGGGGAAUAUUGAGCAAUGGGCGAAAGCCUGACGCAGCGACGCCGCGUGGGGGAUGAAGCUUUUCGGAGUGUAAACCCCUUUCGACCCGGACGAAAGCCCGCAAGGGCCUGACGGUACGGGUAUAAGAAGCCCCGGCUAACUACGUGCCAGCAGCCGCGGUAAUACGUAGGGGGCCAGCGUUGUUCGGAAUUACUGGGCGUAAAGGGUCUGUAGGCGGUGCGGCAAGUCGGAAGUGAAAUCCCAGGGCUCAACCCCGGGUCUGCUCCCGAUACUGCCGUGCUAGAGUGCGAGAGAGGCGGGUGGAAUUGCAGGUGUAGCGGUGAAAUGCGUAGAUAUCUGCAGGAACAUCCGAUGGCGAAAGCGGCUCGCUGGAUCAGCAACUGACG